RNAcentral lists this ribosomal RNA (433 nucleotides) under uncultured bacterium. RNAcentral's name for it is "bacterial SSU rRNA". It matches the Rfam family "Bacterial small subunit ribosomal RNA", at positions 29 to 507 of the family's 1533-position model. The record is from RNAcentral.
AACGAACGCUGGCGGCAGGCCUAACACAUGCAAGUCGAGCGAACCCUUCGGGGUUAGCGGCGGACGGGUUAGUAACGCGUGGGAAUAUACCCUUUGGUACGGAAUAGCCUCGGGAAACUGAGAGUAAUACCGUAUGUGCCCUUCGGGGGAAAGAUUUAUCGCCAAAGGAUUAGCCCGCGUUGGAUUAGAUAGUUGGUGGGGUAAUGGCCUACCAAGUCUACGAUCCAUAGCUGGUUUGAGAGGAUGAUCAGCAACACUGGGACUGAGACACAGCCCAGACUCCUACGGGAGGCAGCAGUGGGGAAUCUUAGACAAUGGGCGCAAGCCUGAUCUAGCCAUGCCGCGUGGACGAUGAAGGCCUUAGGGUUGUAAAGUCCUUUCAGAUGGGAAGAUAAUGACGGUACCAUCAGAAGAAGCCCCGGCUAACUCCGUG